RNAcentral lists this ribosomal RNA (440 nucleotides) under uncultured bacterium. RNAcentral's name for it is "partial 16S ribosomal RNA". It matches the Rfam family "Bacterial small subunit ribosomal RNA", at positions 338 to 795 of the family's 1533-position model. The record is from RNAcentral.
UCUACGGGAGGCAGCAGUGGGGGAUAUUGCACAAUGGGGGAAACCCUGAUGCAGCGACGCCGCGUGUGGGAAGACGGUCCUCUGGAUUGUAAACCACUGUCCCCAGGGACGAAGAUGACGGUACCUGGGGAGGAAGCUCCGGCUAACUACGUGCCAGCAGCCGCGGUAAUACGUAGGGAGCGAGCGUUGUCCGGAAUUACUGGGUGUAAAGGGAGCGUAGGCGGGACUGCAAGUUGGGUGUCAAAUCUACCGGCUCAACCGGUAGCCGCACUCAAAACUGCAGUUCUGGAGUGAAGUAGAGGCAGGCGGAAUUCCUAGUGUAGCGGUGAAAUGCGUAGAUAUUAGGAGGAACACCAGUGGCAAAGGCGGCCUGCUGGGCUUUUACUGACGCUGAGGCUCGAAAGUGUGGGGAGCAAACAGGAUUAGAUACCCCUGUAGUC